CGAACACAGACGUCAGACAAGUAAAUUUUUUUAAAACUUUUCGCCUAUGAUCCAACACUUGUAACUAAAUCAAUGUAAAGACAGAUUUGUACAAACUAACUAAACAUACUAGUCCUGUAUAUACCACCAACAUUUAUUGAGUUAGACACUUUUAUAUAGCCCUAGAAACUAUCAGUUGUUUUCCAACAGAAAGAAGCUUAUAAAACGGUUUAAAAUUGAGGAUUAAUAAAAUUCUCUUUUGUGAGGAAGUCUGGCAUUCUUGGUAUGUACACAAUUUGAAGAAUGAACAAGUACUGUGUGUGACACAUCAUCAGAUGCAUCUUAGUUCUUCCCUUUUAAAUUUGAACUUAGAUUACCAGAUGUUAAUUAUGCAGAAGGCUAAGCAAAAUGAUGUGGAAAACAUUGGACAGGAAGGAAAAUUACGUUUUAAUUCCACACAUUAAGUUCAAGAAACAUAAACUAUGAGACCAAAAGAAGCCUAGCCCAGUCCCAUCCAACUUGCUCAAAAUCCUGCACUGGGUGAACAGAUUCGCCCCAGUGCCUACAGAGAACUAGUCACUUCAGUCUAGGAUGAAAAACAAUUUAAACGUUUAGCUGUCUGUGCCUUUGGCAUUAAGAAGCAUUACAUACAGAUGAUACAUCAGGAAUUUGGGUGUUUUCCCAACUGCUACGAAGCAGGCAUCGCUAUCAGCCCAGGAUCCAGAGCCCUACAGCCUUCCCGGCAGGGAAGUGCCAGCCAGGUGGCAGCUUUCCAGGUAGGAGCAAGCCCUCCUCUGUAGCAGGGCACCCUUGUCAGCAGUCAAGUAAUUGUGCCCAGCUGCUAGUGUUCAGGAAGCAGAAAUCCCAGUUCCCAAACUCUUUUUUAAGAGUCUUCAUCUUCACCUUGCAGUGCAGUGCUCUCAUCACCAAGCCAGGGUCACCAUCUCGUACCCCUGACUCUUUCACUUCUUUUUGCACAGAAAUGAAGCUUCAAGGGGUUACUGCUUGUCAGCUGCGCUGCAGUAACGUCCUGUGGGAAAACCUCCCCUUUACCUCAUGCAGAUUUGACAGUAGCCGUAUGUGUUACUGAAGACAAAGGGAAGACCUAAUUGCUGAAGUCAUAACGAUGUGGCCUCUUCUGAUACAUCUUCUGCCAGAUGCUUUGUUCCUUUUUAGGAGCCUGUUCCAUCUUCAGACAAGUACACAGAGAAGACAAAGAGGUGAUGGCAGAAUUUUAAAUUGAAAUCAGGGCUUUGACUACAUCAAAAGCAAAAGACUUUUUUUUCCUACUGCUUAUGUCUAUUGUUUAUAUUUUGACUCAAGAACUGUUCAUUUGAUAGCAAUAACCACAGGAAAAAAGUAGUUUUCACUGUGCCUUAAGAAAAACUACACUUCCAGAGUGUCAGGUGUCCUGGACUUCUGGAAUAGUUCUCUCAAUUUUCUAAAUCUGUGGGCCAAGAGACACAGUAUAAAAAAUAAAUGAUUAUAUAUAUAUAACAUUAUUUUUAUAUGAUAACUCAAUUACCCCUAGAAACCAUUGAAUGAUUCUUAACAGAAUCACACCUGUAUGCUGCCUAUAUAGGAUAUUUUCUGAUCCAACAGUGAUAUAAACUAUCACUGUUGCGGGUACCUUUUUUCCACUGACUAUAUGGAUGUGCAUCCAUGGCUGUGACUCCUGAGUAACAGGUUCCAAAUACGGAGAAUAGUGCAUGUAUAUCCAAGGACACAGCCUAGUAAAGACAGAGCCUGCUGGAUACAGUUUGUGAACUGGUUUGUUUUUUUUCCUUAAGUAACACCCCCUCUCUAAAGCCUCAGCUAACCUGUACAAUCACUGCUAUUUUUAGACAAGAUGGCCAAAGAUAAUUUUUAGAUACAAUGAUUAAAGAAAACAAAUGUUAUCUCCACACCACCCCCCACAUAAAUUGCAAGCUGUAAAUAUAAAUCAGUUUGCUUCUAGAGAAGGAAGAAAAAAAUGCUGCUUUUGAACAGCUGGGCUCAGUAAGAGAUUGGUUUCCCCAUUGACUGUACUUUCCCUGCAGCCCUCAAAGCAGAUUCUGUGCUCUAAGUGCAGUAGAUACUUACAGCACUCUAUAAAUAAAUGCUACUAUGUGCAAC
Molecule: long non-coding RNA, 2094 nt
Organism: Cygnus olor (mute swan)
Lineage: Eukaryota; Metazoa; Chordata; Aves; Anseriformes; Anatidae
Exons: 2
Source: RefSeq, a predicted model, not a curated record